GUGAGGAAUAUUGCGCAAUGGAGGCAACUCUGACGCAGCCAUGCCGCGUGCAGGAAGAAGGCGCUACGCGUUGUAAACUGCUUUUAACCGGGAAGAAACCCCAGGACGUGUCCUGGGUUGACGGUACCGGAGGAAUAAGCACCGGCUAACUUCGUGCCAGCAGCCGCGGUAAUACGAAGGGUGCAAGCGUUAUCCGUAUUCAUUGGGUUUAAAGGGUGCGUAGGCGGAGCGUUAAGUCAGUGGUGAAAUCCUGCAGCUUAACUGUAGACUUGCCAUUGAUACUGGCGCUCUUGAGUGCGCUUGAAGUGGGCGGAAUGUGCCGUGUAGCGGUGAAAUGCUUAGAUAUGGCACAGAACACCAAUUGCGAAGGCAGCUCACUAAGGCGAUACUGACGCUGAGGCACGAAAGCGUGGGGAUCGAACAGGAUUAGAAACCCCGGUAGUCC
This 445-nucleotide ribosomal RNA is filed under the name uncultured bacterium. Its description in RNAcentral is "partial 16S ribosomal RNA". It matches the Rfam family "Bacterial small subunit ribosomal RNA", at positions 354 to 796 of the family's 1533-position model. The record is from RNAcentral.